GAUGAACGCUAGCGGCAGGCUUAACACAUGCAAGUCGAGGGGCAGCAUGACGGAACCUUCGGGUUUUGUUGAUGGCGACCGGCGCAAGGGUGCGUAACGCGUGAGCAACUUGCCCGUUUCAGGGGGAUAACCGGUGGAAACGCCGACUAAUACCCCAUGGCAUUGAGUUGAGGCAUCUCUACUCAAUUAAAGAAUUUCGGAUAAGGAUAGGCUCGCGUGACAUUAGCUAGACGGCGGGGUAACGGCCCACCGUGGCGACGAUGUCUAGGGGUUCUGAGAGGAAGGUCCCCCACACUGGAACUGAGACACGGUCCAGACUCCUACGGGAGGCAGCAGUGAGGAAUAUUGGUCAAUGGUCUGACGACUGAACCAGCCAUGCCGCGUGAAGGUCACGGCCCUAUGGGUCUUAAACUUCUUUUGCGAGGGAGCAAUAAGGCGCACGUGUGCGUCGAUGAGNGUACCUCGCGAAUAAGCAUCGGCUAACUCCGUGCCAG
RNAcentral lists this ribosomal RNA (494 nucleotides) under uncultured bacterium. Its description in RNAcentral is "bacterial SSU rRNA". It matches the Rfam family "Bacterial small subunit ribosomal RNA", at positions 28 to 511 of the family's 1533-position model. The record is from RNAcentral.